CCCUUAGAUGUUCUGGGCCGCACGCGUGCUACACUGAUGCAUUCAACGAGUCUAAAACCUGGUCUGAUAGGGCUGGGUAAUCUUUUGAAAGUGCAUCGUGAUUGGGAUAGAUGAUUGCAAUUCUUCAUCUUCAGCGAGGAAUGCCUAGUAAACGCAAGUCAUCAGCUUGCAUUGAUUACGUCCCUGCCCUUUGUACACACCGCCCGUCGCUCCUACCGAUUGAAUGAUCCGAUGAAUACCAUGGAUUGAGAGUACGAAUAGGUUCGCUUAUUUCUGCUGCUCGAGAAGUGGAGUAAAUCUUAUCAUUUAGAGGAAGGAGAAGUCGUAACA
This 330-nucleotide ribosomal RNA is filed under the name uncultured eukaryote. RNAcentral's name for it is "partial 18S ribosomal RNA". It matches the Rfam family "Eukaryotic small subunit ribosomal RNA", at positions 1470 to 1796 of the family's 1831-position model. The record is from RNAcentral.